GUGAUGACCACAUCCGAUGUCGAUUGGUGACAAAGCCGUCCCAGUCUGA
Molecule: small nucleolar RNA, 49 nt
Filed under: Pyrobaculum calidifontis JCM 11548
Lineage: Archaea; Thermoproteati; Thermoproteota; Thermoprotei; Thermoproteales; Thermoproteaceae
Description: PCAsR36
Source: RNAcentral